Molecule: long non-coding RNA, 1136 nt
Organism: Clupea harengus (Atlantic herring)
Lineage: Eukaryota; Metazoa; Chordata; Actinopteri; Clupeiformes; Clupeidae
Source: Ensembl
AGAGUCUAUGAGGUCUGGGGCGAUUUUCAUUUCGCCCAAAACCAUUUGAAGCAUGAAUUUAGCCUGAUUGGACAAUGACAUUCAGAGGCAGAUCAGACCGUCUAGUGGUAGAAUCGGAUAGAAAAAAAAUAUCUCUUUUUCCCGUUUGGCAGCGCGUCGCCCAAAUCGACCUUAUGGACAAACCGCCCCUGUCAACAACCAGGCUUAUUGGGUGAGAGACACGAGGAGAACGAGAGAAGUGGGGCGGCACAUGAAAGAUGAGUAGGGAAAAACACUUGCGCACGUGGAAGAAGUACUAAGGGGCUAUGCAAAGAAACCACCUUCAGUUAGUAACGUCAAGUCGACGCUGGAGUAUCAGACAUUUGGAAUGCGCGUGGGUAUUUGCAAUUUGUAUUAGUGGCGUGCUUUGAAGUUUAGCUCUCCCAACGGGGGAUAAUAACCUAGCCUACUGCUAGCUCGCUGUCUGUCUGCUAGCACAGUAGUACUAGCAUUCAGCAAUUUUUCCACACUUAAUUAAUCUAGUGGGAAACUUUUCGUCAUGUAGUCAAGUUGGUCAAUAGUCAAGUUAGUUUAGCUUCUGCUCAGUUUUUCCGGACACACUUCUGGUUCCACUGAUUGGCCGUUGAGGGAGCACCGCCACCCGGAUAGCAGCACUGGUGACCAGGGGAAAGCUUCAGAUUCAGCCUCAUGCUUCAGUUCAGUGCUGACUCUAGCUCAGUGCAUGGAGCUGCCACUGAACUCGACAUGUGUGGCCUUGGGACAUAGGACGUUCUCCCAGUUGGUGUUCAGGGUGUCACCUCCCAGGGUCUCGUAGAUGAGCCACGCCAUGGCUUCCUCUCCCUACCCAGCUCCCGCGCCUGGGAAGACGGCCGCCCCGGCUCCCGCUCCUGCGAAGACAGCCACCACAGCCCCCCCUCCCGCUACUACGACCACCCCAGCUCCAGCUCCCGCGAAGACGGCCACUCCAUCUUCAGCUCCUGCGAACACGGCCGCCCCAGCUCCUGUGAAGACGGCCGCCCCAGCUCCUGUGAAGACGGCCGCCCCAGCUCCAGCUCCUGCGAAGAUGGCCACCACAGCCCCCCCUCCCGCUAAGACGACCGCUCCAGCUCCCGCGAAGACCGCCACUCCAUCUUCAG